CUUCCUGCUCGUGCCACCAGGCCCCGGGGCCGCGACGCGUCUCUCCAGCCCGGGAUCCGGGGAGCUGGGCUGUCCCCAGACCGACGGGACAGCGGCAUCUCCUCCACCUGAAAAGGAAAGAGGACCAGGUGGGGGCCAGGCAGGGCGCAUGAAGGCGGCGCCAGCACCGCGCGAUCCGAAUCACGUCGGUGCGGGGGAGGGGUCGGAGCCUGGCCUCGGCCUAGGGCGCAGAUGCGGUGCGCACCGCAGGGGGGCGGCGUGGGGUGCGGGGCCAGUCCCGCCGGGCACGGGGUCCUGGUCCUCAUCCCCUUCACCGCCGCCGCCCGCCUGGGCUGGCGUUUCCCCAGCGAGAGCGCGUAGUUUGCGCAGCGCCCCUCGCCCACGCCGCCGCUGGGUCGCGGGGCGCGCCUACCCAGAGCCGAGGUCCCGGACUCCCCGGCCAUCGCGACCCUUCCGGGGACUCCUCGCCCCUUCGCGGUGGGACCAAGGCCCGGGUGGGGCCGGGACAGGGUGGUGGGGGGAAGGGGGACCGUACAAAAGCAAACAGAAACCACGGGGGGCUCGCCGCGACGCCCAGUCCGAGGGCCUCUCGCCUGGAAGAGGGAAGAAACCCACGUCCUGGACGCGGGUGUGGGGUCUGUCCCGGGUCAGGACCUGUUGUCUCUGCGACGUUGCCAGUCCGGAGAGCUCGGAGGGCCAAUGCAGCCCCGGAUUCAACAAGAUGCGAAAGGACUUCUAAAGCCAGGAACCGGCACCCAGCCACGGCCACCGCCCGCCGGCCCGGCGCCCUGCCCCCACUCACUGCGCCCCCAAGUUCCGGCGCCGCGGGCUGCAGGGGUGACUUGGCUCGGCGUGCCUCGGGGCACGAGGCUCGGCCCCGCACGGCUCUCGGGUCCCGGGGGGCUGGGGUGGGAAGGGACAUGGCCGGCGCGCGGCGCUGGGGAGCCGGGUGCGCCAGGCUGGGGACCUUGCGUGGGGCAGGGCUUGGCUCAGCCGAGGGGCCGCGGCUCAGCCCCCCUCACCGGCCUUAAAGGUUCCCAGAGACGCAAAGUCGGACGCGGGUCCUGAGCGCGGAGCUACAGGGGGGAGCAUGGGGCAGCCCCCAAGGCGCGCUCCCUGCAUUUCCCACCCUUUCCACGCUGCCCUGCGCGCACGGUCGGGCGCCCUUGGGGUGGGCAGGGAGGCGCGGGCAGGGGCAGCGCCGAAGACCUCCCGCCGCCAUGGAGAAGGGGCUCCCCACCCACCCUCCUGCCCCAACCAUUAUAGAUCCCAGCCAGUGCGCCCCGCGCCCUUCCGGGACAAGCUGCCCCCAGGACCACCGUGCCCCAGUAUCAAGCGGACAGCAAAUCUCUCGGUGGCUCCUUUUUUUGCAGGACUCCGAACUGGGCCCGCGAGAUCUCCACCUGCGCAAAACGAAAGGGCGGAUUCUCCUUGGACUCACGAGGCAACCGCUCCCCGGGGUGAGAACGGGGGACUCAUUCCUCCGGCACUGGGAGAAGACGAUUCUUUAGGAGGAGGACAGGGAAGCGAAUGCUACCCAGGUGCGUAAUCACAUUUGGGCACCCUCGGGGGCCUGAGAGGAGGCCAGGGGUGACCUGCCCCCAUUCUCACAGGGGAGGGGCGGUGAGCCUAUUCUCACAGGUGUCUGUGAUGAGCCCAUGUUUUCCAAACUCCUCCGUGAUUCUAGAACAGUGCUAGAGAAGCCGUGAGCCAGCUGGCAGGUGAGAACGCCCAGGUGCAGGUGGAUGGCUGCAGGUCAGGCCUACUUUUCCUACACCUGUUGCUGGGGGGCAAUCCCAUACCCACUCUCAGUCCAGAGUGCCUGUCACCACAGGGCAAGUAGGUGAAGGGCUUCUCAGAUCCUCAAAGACUCAGAGGGAUAAAAGGAGGCAGAUGGGUCCUAGAGGCAGCCCAUGGCAAGGGAGAGGUCUGCUUUUUUCUUUUUUUUUGAGACGGAGUUUCACUUUUGUUGCCCAGGCUGGAGUGCAAUGGCCUGACCCUGGCUCACUGCAACCUCCACCUCCCAGGUUCAAGUGAUUCUCCUGCCUCAGCCUCCUGAGUAGCUGGGAUUACAGGUGCCCACCACUAUGCCCAACUAAUUUUUGUGGAGACGGGGUUUCACCAUGUUGGCCAGUCAGGUCAAAUUCCUGACUUGAGGUCAAACUCCUGACCUCAGGUAAUCCACCCAUCUCGGUCUCCCAAAGUGCUGGGAUUACAGGUGUGAACCACCACACCUGGCCGAGGUCUGCUUUUCUGAUCAGACAAAAGUGGGUUCCAACCUUGACUCACUACAUGGCCUGGGCAAUGUGCCAGCAUCUUCCCAACCUCUCCCUGCACCCCCAAAUAAUCUCAUUCAAUCUUCAAAAAGCCCUUUGAGAUAAGUCCUAGGACUGCUGCAUUUACAGGUGAGGAAAUUAGGACCUGAAAGGUAAGACUGGGUUGGCCACAACCAACGCAGGGAGGAGAGCGGGGUGGACCCACGACCCAAGGUGGCGCCUGUCGGUUCUCCAAGCCCUCACUCCUCAUGUACCUGCCAUCCUGCCUCAACUUCGCAAAUUGCUUACGCAUGCUGAGCGUGUGUCCUCGUGUACACCGACAGCAUCAGGCUCCUAGUAUGGAUGCAAUAAGUACUGUGGAAUGAAUGAAUGAAUGAAUGAAUGAAAUGAAUGCACACCUCCCUACCCCCAGGGUGAUGAUAAGGACUGUGCAAGACAGAGUGGCUGCACACAGUAGGCCCUCUCAUGCAUGCAGUCGCUCUUCUAAAACAUCUCUAUGAAGCACCUGUUUUGUUCCAGGCAUUGAGGGAACAUUGGUGCUCAUUGGUUCUCUGUUCCUUGCAGACAGACCUGGGAGCAUUCUCCUUGGAGGUCCCCACCCUUGUGGGCUCUUUUUUUCUUGCUUUCCUUUCAGAGCCACCAAAAUGCCUGGACCUGGGCAGCUAACAGUGGGAUGAAUCUGCUUUAGAGACACCAGACUGCCAGCUAGAGAAUUGAAAUAACCUGAUUCUUAUCUAUUUUUCCAUCCAGAGAGGGCACACCAAGGCUAGGCCUCAUUUUUUUUUUCUUUAAACAUUUUUGUGUUGACAAAUAAUGUUUUAUAAAGGCCUCACUAUCUGCCAAACUGUGUCUCACUUCUCCCCAGCCCUGCCAGGUGUGGGGACACCGAACCCACCCAUAUCUCCUCUAGAAUCCACCGAGCACUGAGAUAGCCACAUCUCUAACCUACACCUUUAACUUACAAGCCACAGUCAAGAGGGCUUUGGAGAAAGGGAACCACAGAGGUAGCACGGACAAGCCUCCACUAUCUGCCCCUGGCGCAGGACGCCCACAACCCCAGACACGGUGCACAACGGUCCCUCAGGAAGCCUUUCCUUGAGUCCUACAUUUAACCACAGAGGCCCAGAGGCCCAGGCGUGGUGGUGACUGCCUGCUCGGCAUGCCCCAACCUUUUUUUUUUUUUGAGACAGAGUCUGUCGCCCAGGCUGGAGUGCAGUGGCAUGAUCUCGGCUCACUGCAUCCUCUGCCUCUGGGAUUUAAGCGAUUCUCCUGCCUCAGCCUCCUGAGUAGCUGGGACUACAGGCGCCCGCCACCAUGCCCGGCUAAUUUCUGUAUUUCUACUAGAGAUGGGGUUUCACCAUGUUGGUCAGGCUGGUCUCGAAUUCCUGACCACAAGUGAUCCACCCACCUCGGCCUCCCGAAGCACUGGAAUUACAGGCGUGAGCCACCAUGCCCUGCUGGCCUCCCGCUCUGAGAUUACCUUUUCACCUCAGAUGAGAAAAAUGAACUCAGUAAAGUGCUUGGGAAAGAAACAUCUCAAUCCAAGCCAAUGGGAAAGCCUGGCAAGGAACCCAAGGAAUGUGGAUCUCCAGGGAGCCCAUGGCUCCAUCUUGUUCAAAAGUGAGAAUUUAAAAAGGAGGAUGAGCUUGAGACCAGCCAGGGCACCAUAGUGAGACCCCAUCUCUACAAAAAAUUUUAAAAUUAGCCAGACAUGGUGGUGCACACUUGUAGUCCCAGCUACUCAGGAGGCUGAGGCAGGAGGAUCACUUGAGGCAGGAGUCUGAGGCUGCAAUGAGCCAAGAUCACACCAGUGCACUUCAGCCUGGACAACAGAGGGAGACCCUGUCU
Molecule: long non-coding RNA, 4124 nt
Filed under: Homo sapiens (human)
Lineage: Eukaryota; Metazoa; Chordata; Mammalia; Primates; Hominidae
Description: non-protein coding LINC01759:22
Source: RNAcentral